ACACACGUACUACAAUGGCGCGCACAAAGGGCAGCGAUACCGCGAGGUGGAGCCAAUCCCAAAAAACGCGUCCCAGUCCGGACUGCAGUCUGCAACUCGACUGCACGAAGUCGGAAUCGCUAGUAAUCCCGGAUCAGCAUGCCGGGGUGAAUGCGUUCCCGGGCCUUGUACACACCGCCCGUCACACCACGAAAGUUGGUUUUACCCGAAGCCGGUGAGCUAACCGCAAGGAGGCAGCCGUCUACGGUAGGGCCGAUGAUUGGGGUGAAGUCGUAACAAGGUAGCCGUAGGGGAACCUGCGGCUGGAUCACCUCCUUU
This 318-nucleotide ribosomal RNA is filed under the name Deltaproteobacteria bacterium. RNAcentral's name for it is "bacterial SSU rRNA". It matches the Rfam family "Bacterial small subunit ribosomal RNA", at positions 1216 to 1533 of the family's 1533-position model. Lineage: Bacteria; Pseudomonadati; Myxococcota; Myxococcia. The record is from RNAcentral.